This is a long non-coding RNA of Stegodyphus dumicola, 579 nucleotides long. NCBI's taxonomy places the organism in Eukaryota, Metazoa, Arthropoda, Arachnida, Araneae, Eresidae. The record is from RefSeq and is a predicted model, not a curated record.
ACAAUCAAAUAAAUCUGCCUGUAAUGAUGAAUUUCAAAGGCCAAGCCAAAAUCCUUUCAUGAAUUUGAUACUUCUAAAGAAUGUGAUCUCGUCAAAUUAAAUCCUCAUGACAUUGAUAAACAGUUAUUACUGAUCUGUGUUACAAAACAGAUUUUUAUACAUGAUAAAUAAUAUUUUCUGAAGCGUUAUUUUGUGUUGUCAUCGCACAAUUCUUACAAAACAUAGCAAUAAAGGUGGACUGAAGGUCAUCUCUUCAGGAAUGUAUCGAAUAUGUAGGGAAGCUGAACGAGAAUUUCAAAAAUGUAAAGAUGUACUCCUUCGUUUACAAUCAGCCAUCACAAAAGAAUUAGUUGAAAGAAUAAUUGAUAAAUGUACGCAUGUGGCCAUGCCAGAAUGCUGUAAUCUUAAGAAAGUAAUUAUUGAUAAUUUUUUUAUUACUAGAUGCAAAGGCCUUACACAGCAUCUUAUCAACAAAAGAGCCCAUAACGUUUCAUAUUCAUCAGCAUCGGCCAAUAAGAAACAAAAAGUAAAAUAAUUUUAGAAGGCACUUGUGGAUCAUGUCAGACAACAUGCAAUAGA